AUUUUGCUCUAGCCGUUUGGGGCUUACUGGGGAACGUAUCUCAGUCAUCAAGCCGAGACCAGCUGGCUGUUACAGCAAUGAAGUUUUUGACUACUGUUAGCACGAGUGUACACCACACUUUAUUUGCAGGCGAGGGAGUGAUACCUGAGAUUUGUAAGAGCAUAGUAAUACCCAAUGUAAGGCUGAGGGAUGAAGAUGAGGAACUAUUUGAAAUGAACUAUGUUGAAUUCAUUAGGAGGGACAUGGAAGGUAGCG
This 255-nucleotide unclassified non-coding RNA is filed under the name Hevea brasiliensis (rubber tree). Lineage: Eukaryota; Viridiplantae; Streptophyta; Magnoliopsida; Malpighiales; Euphorbiaceae. The record is from RNAcentral.